Molecule: long non-coding RNA, 1200 nt
Filed under: Canis lupus familiaris (dog)
Lineage: Eukaryota; Metazoa; Chordata; Mammalia; Carnivora; Canidae
Description: lncRNA (ENSCAFG00845026283.1)
Source: RNAcentral
AUGAAAUCCAAUGCUGCCGACAGUGCUUUGUGGCUACAAAGCUGUAGGCACACGAAGUGGGACUCCGUAGAGUCAGUGACAACUACCCUAGAGUUCGGGAAGCCUCUCCCACCGUGGGAACCUACUUUCCCUCCCCAAACCUGGUCUGUCCUUCUGAUUUCCCCCACCUCCUCUCCCCUCCCCUCUCUUCCCACUACUUCCACUCCUCUCCUCCUCCUCCCCUUUUUCCUGUCCUCCUCCCCUCCCCCUUUUCCUCCCCUCCCCCUCUUCCCCCUCCCCUCCUCUUCUCCUCCCCUCUCCUCCUCUUCCCCUCCCCCUUGCCCUCCCUCCCCUCUUGCCCUCCCCCUCCUCCCCUUCCCCUCCCUUGUCCCCUCCCCUUCCCCUCUUGCCCUCCCCUCUCCUUCCCCUCCUCCUCCCCUCUCCCCUUCCCCCCUUGCCCUCCCCCUCUCCUCUUCCUCCCCUCCCCUCCUCUCGCCCUCCCCCUCCUCCCCUCCCCCUCUUCCUCCCCUCUCCUUCCCCUCCUCCCCCCUCCCCCCACUCUCCCUCCCCUUCCCCUCUUGCCCUCCCCUCUCCUCUCCUCCCCUCCCCUCUCCUUCCCUCCUCCUCCUCCCCCCUCUCCCCUUCCCCUCUUGCCCUCCUCUCUCCUCUUCCCCUCCCCCUUGCCCUCCUCUCCUCUCUUCCUCCCCUCCCCUCCUCUCGCCCCUCCCCUCCUCCCCUCCCCUCUUCCUCCCCUCCCCUCCUCCCCCUCCUCCUCCUCCCCCUCUCCCCUUCCCCUCUUGCCCUCCCCUCUCCUCUUCCCCUCCCCCUUGCCCUCCUCUCUCCUCUUCCUCCCCUCCUCUCGCGCCCUCCCUCCUCCCUCCCCCUCUUCCUCCCCUCUCCUCCCCCUCCUCCUCCUCCUCCUCCCCUCUCCCCUUCCCCUCUUGCCCUCCUCUCUCCUCUUCCCCCCCCCCCUUGCCCUCCUCUCUCCUCUUCCUCCCCCUCCUCUCGCCCCUCCCCUCCUCUCCCUCCCCCACUUGCCCUCCCCUCCCCUCCUCCUUCCCUCUCCCCUCCCCUCCUCCCGUCCUCCCCUCCCCUCCCCUCUCCUUCCCGUCCUCCUUCCCCUCCUCUUCCUCCUCCUCCCCCCCUUCCCCUCCUCCUCCUCCUCCGUCGGCCCCUCCCCGCGCUUGGCGGGAGCUUUCCUCGCGUGACCACUCUGCGUAA